AUUGAACGCUGGCGGCAGGCUUAACACAUGCAAGUCGAGCGGAGCGAGGGUGCUUGCACCUUAGCUUAGCGGCGGACGGGUGAGUAAUGCUUAGGAAUCUGCCUAUUAGUGGGGGACAACAUUCCGAAAGGGAUGCUAAUACCGCAUACGCCCUACGGGGGAAAGCGGGGGAUCUUCGGACCUUGCGCUAAUAGAUGAGCCUAAGUCGGAUUAGCUAGUUGGUGGGGUAAAGGCCUACCAAGGCGACGAUCUGUAGCGGGUCUGAGAGGAUGAUCCGCCACACUGGGACUGAGACACGGCCCAGAUUCCUACGGGAGGCAGCAGUGGGGAAUAUUGGACAAUGGGGGGAACCCUGAUCCAGCCUUGCCGCGUGUGUGAAGAAGGCCUUAUGGUUGUAAAGCACUUUAAGCGAGGAGGAGGCUCUUUUGGUUAAUACCCAGAAUGAGUGGACGUUACUCGCAGAAUAAGUACCGGCUAACUCUAUGCCAGCCGCCGCCGUAA
Molecule: ribosomal RNA, 501 nt
Filed under: uncultured bacterium
Lineage: Bacteria
Description: partial 16S ribosomal RNA
Rfam family: Bacterial small subunit ribosomal RNA
Source: RNAcentral